RNAcentral lists this ribosomal RNA (253 nucleotides) under uncultured bacterium. RNAcentral's name for it is "partial 16S ribosomal RNA". It matches the Rfam family "Bacterial small subunit ribosomal RNA", at positions 524 to 776 of the family's 1533-position model. The record is from RNAcentral.
UACGUAGGGUGCAAGCGUUAAUCGGAAUUACUGGGCGUAAAGCGUGCGCAGGCGGUGAUGUAAGACAGAUGUGAAAUCCCCGGGCUCAACCUGGGAACUGCAUUUGUGACUGCAUCGCUGGAGUGCGGCAGAGGGGGAUGGAAUUCCGCGUGUAGCAGUGAAAUGCGUAGAUAUGCGGAGGAACACCGAUGGCGAGGGCAAUCCCCUGGGCCUGCACUGACGCUCAUGCACGAAAGCGUGAGGAGCAAACAGG